CUUGCUGUGAAAGACCUCGUAACUGCUUGGGACUCUUCUUAUCCCCCAUCACUCCAGAAGCACAAAUGAGAGGAAGGGGAGAAGGCCUCUGCCUUCUCCAAUGUGGAAGAUUGGUUGCUGAAACAGCCAUCAGUUAUUCUCCUCCCCGUAUCAAGCCUGCUUGCUGUGUAAUUUUCAAUGCUCUCCUCUCAUUCUGAGCCUAGCCAUGUGACUUGCU
RNAcentral lists this long non-coding RNA (217 nucleotides) under Dasypus novemcinctus (nine-banded armadillo). RNAcentral's name for it is "lncRNA (ENSDNOG00000050650.1)". The record is from RNAcentral. Lineage: Eukaryota; Metazoa; Chordata; Mammalia; Cingulata; Dasypodidae.